AGAAAUAUAAAUCCACAAUUCACAAAUAGUCCACAAUUCACAAGUAGUCCAUUACAACAUCCGAGAGUUCACAAAUAGUCCAUACUACAUAAAAUUCACAAAUAGUCCAUUACAACGCACAAUUCGGCACAAAUCAUAAACCAUCACAUAUCGGGGUCGUUGGAGUUGUGUCCACUACCUCCAGAAGCGAAAACCUGGUUGACGAAGUCGUGUGACGGGUUUGGAUUCUAAAUAAAAAAGAAGAUAUUAAUAGCCGCAUUGGUUACAUGUAUGACGACUAUUCAAACAAAUUGUUUCUCAAACUAACCUCUCCUGGAGUAGCU
Molecule: long non-coding RNA, 323 nt
Filed under: Zea mays
Lineage: Eukaryota; Viridiplantae; Streptophyta; Magnoliopsida; Poales; Poaceae
Description: long non-coding RNA (ZMAY_LNC003983)
Source: RNAcentral